Molecule: ribosomal RNA, 505 nt
Filed under: uncultured bacterium
Lineage: Bacteria
Description: partial 16S ribosomal RNA
Rfam family: Bacterial small subunit ribosomal RNA
Source: RNAcentral
GACGAACGCUGGCGGCGUGCCUAAUACAUGCAAGUAGAACGCACAGUUUAUACCGUAGCUUGCUACACCAUAGACUGUGAGUUGCGAACGGGUGAGUAACGCGUAGGUAACCUGCCUGGUAGCGGUGGAUAACUAUUGGAAACGAUAGCUAAUACCUCAUAAUAUUGAUUAUUGCAUGAUAAUUGAUUGAAAGAUGCUAUUGCAUCACUACCAGCUGGACCUGCGUUGUAUUAGCUAGUAGGUGAGGUAACGGCUCACCUAGGCGACGAUACAUAGCCGAACUGAGAGGGGGAUCGGCCAAACUGGGACUGGGAAAAGGCCCAGACUCCUAAGGGAGGGAGCAGUAGGGAAUCUUCGGCAAUGGACGAAAGGCUGAACGAGCAAAGCCGCGGGAGGGAAGAAGGGUUUCGGAUCGUAAAGAUCUGUUGAAAGGGAAGAACGGGUGUGAGAGGGGAAAGUGCACACUGUGACGGUAGCUAACCAGAAAGGGACGGCUAACUACGUG